Molecule: unclassified non-coding RNA, 22 nt
Filed under: Chlamydomonas reinhardtii
Lineage: Eukaryota; Viridiplantae; Chlorophyta; Chlorophyceae; Chlamydomonadales; Chlamydomonadaceae
Description: small RNA Cre_1084
Source: RNAcentral
CCGACGGCACCGCCGCCGCCGC